This is a long non-coding RNA of Halichondria panicea, 425 nucleotides long. RefSeq lists it as uncharacterized. The record is from RefSeq and is a predicted model, not a curated record. Lineage: Eukaryota; Metazoa; Porifera; Demospongiae; Suberitida; Halichondriidae. The transcript is spliced from 3 exons.
UCACUUUCAGCUUGCAGAGGAGCACGGGGUCAAGUUCAUGGAAUCCAGUGCCAAGUCUGGACUGAACGUUGAUUCGGCAUUCUUGGCACUUGCGAAGGAUAUUAAGAAUAAAAUGGACAGGAAAUCAGUAACAGAUCAGCAGCCGGCCUAUUCAAGUGGAGUCAGAGUUGGGGACUCCGCAGAGAAGGAGGGGAAGAAAGGAGGCUGUUGCUAGGCUGAAACUUUUUAGUGAAAGCUGGUUGAAUCUUUUAACACCAAAAUUUUCUUGUCAUUCUCUCAAAACUGUUGUACGUGUAGUAAAAUCUACGUAUAUACGUGCACUAUAGUUCUUUUGUUUUUUGCCUAAAAUUAAUUUUUACUGUUGUGCACUAUAGAAAUUUAAUAUUUUAUGUGUUCUAAUUAUAUGACUGUGUUGUAUCAGCUUC